Molecule: transfer RNA, 76 nt
Filed under: Roseivirga sp.
Lineage: Bacteria; Pseudomonadati; Bacteroidota; Cytophagia; Cytophagales; Roseivirgaceae
Description: tRNA-Leu
Rfam family: tRNA
About the family: Transfer RNA (tRNA) molecules are approximately 80 nucleotides in length.
Source: RNAcentral
GCCCUGUUGGCGAAACGGCAAACGCGACCGGCUUAGACCCGGGAAUUUGGGGGUUCGAAUCCCUCACAGGGUACCA